UUAUAUAAAAGUUAAUCUUUCAUAUUUUUAUAUUAUGAAUUUAUUUUUUAAGUUAAAAAACUUAAAUUUUUUUAUAGGACGAGAAGACCCUAUAGAGCUUAAUUUUGUUUGUAUAAAUUUUUUAUAAGUAAAGUUUGGUUGGGGAGACUUUUAUUUUUUUAACAAUUGAUUAUUUUUUCAAUAAUUUUUGAUUUUUUUGAUCCAAUAUUAUGUUGAUUAUAAGAAUAAGUUACCUUAGGGAUAACAGCGUGAUUUAGUUGGAGAGUACGUAUUGAUAAUUAAGAUUGCGACCUCGAUGUUGAAUUAAGAUAAGGACUAGGGGUAGAUUUUUGUGUUUUUAGGUCUGUUCGACCUAUAUUUUCUUACAUGAUUUGAGUUAAGACCGGUGUGAGCCAGGUCGGUUUCUAUCCUUAAUUUUUAUAAUAACUUUUUAGUACGAGAGGACCAGAGGUUUAGUUAAUAAUUU
RNAcentral lists this ribosomal RNA (466 nucleotides) under Schizopterinae sp. UCR ENT 00027857. RNAcentral's name for it is "partial large subunit ribosomal RNA". The stretch from base 76 to 410 matches the Rfam family "Bacterial large subunit ribosomal RNA", at positions 2077 to 2643 of the family's 2925-position model. The record is from RNAcentral. Lineage: Eukaryota; Metazoa; Arthropoda; Insecta; Hemiptera; Schizopteridae.